AGUGAACGCUGGCGGCAGGCCUAACACAUGCAAGUCGAGCGGCAGCGCGGGGGCAACCCUGGCGGCGAGCGGCGGACGGGUGAGGAAUUCGUCGGAAUCUGCCUUUUUGUGGGGGAUAACGUAGGGAAACUUACGCUAAUACCGCAUACGACCUACGGGUGAAGGUGGGGGACCGCAAGGCCUCACGCAGAAAGAUGAGCCGACGACCGAUUAGCUAGUUGGUGGGGUAAAGGCCCACCAAGGCGACGAUCGGUAGCUGGUCUGAGAGGAUGAUCAGCCACACUGGGACGGAGACACGGCCCAGACUCCUACGGGAGGCAGCAGUGGGGAAUAUUGGACAAUGGGCGCAAGCCUGAUCCAGCCAUGCCGCGUGUGUGAAGAAGGCCUUCGGGUUGUAAAGCACUUUUGUCCGGAAAGAAAUCUUCCAACUUAAUACGUUGGGAGGAUGACGGUACCGGAAGAAUAAGCACCGGCUAACUUCGUGCCAGCCGCCGCCGUAA
RNAcentral lists this ribosomal RNA (500 nucleotides) under uncultured bacterium. RNAcentral's name for it is "partial 16S ribosomal RNA". It matches the Rfam family "Bacterial small subunit ribosomal RNA", at positions 29 to 523 of the family's 1533-position model. The record is from RNAcentral.